CAGUAGCCGCGGGAACACAGAGGGUGCAAGCGUUAAUCGGAUUUACUGGGCGUAAAGGGCGCGUAGGUGGUUAUGUAAGUGAGAUGUGAAAUCCCCGGGCUCAACCUGGGAACUGCAUCUUAUACUGCGUAGCUGGAGUGCAGUAGAGGGUAGCGGAAUUUCCGGUGUAGCGGUGAAAUGCGUAGAUAUCGGAAGGAACACCAGUGGCGAAGGCGGCUACCUGGACUGACACUGACACUGAGGCGCGAAAGCGUGGGGAGCAAACAGUAUUAGAUACCCCUGUAGUCCCUGUCUCUUAUAC
This 301-nucleotide ribosomal RNA is filed under the name uncultured bacterium. RNAcentral's name for it is "partial 16S ribosomal RNA". It matches the Rfam family "Bacterial small subunit ribosomal RNA", at positions 509 to 807 of the family's 1533-position model. The record is from RNAcentral.